Molecule: ribosomal RNA, 167 nt
Filed under: uncultured bacterium
Lineage: Bacteria
Description: partial 16S rRNA
Rfam family: Bacterial small subunit ribosomal RNA
Source: RNAcentral
UAGGGAAUCUUCGGCAAUGGACGAAAGUCUGACCGAGCAACGCCGCGUGAGUGAAGAAGGUUUUCGGAUCGUAAAACUCGUGUUGGUAGAGAAGAACGUUGGUGAGAGGUGGAAAGCUCAUCAAGUGACGGUAACUACCCAGAAAGGGACGGCUAACUACGUGCCAG